Molecule: transfer RNA, 86 nt
Filed under: Desulfobulbaceae bacterium
Lineage: Bacteria; Pseudomonadati; Thermodesulfobacteriota; Desulfobulbia; Desulfobulbales; Desulfobulbaceae
Description: tRNA-Leu
Rfam family: tRNA
About the family: Transfer RNA (tRNA) molecules are approximately 80 nucleotides in length. Their secondary structure includes four short double-helical elements and three loops (D, anti-codon, and T loops). Further hydrogen bonds mediate the characteristic L-shaped molecular structure. tRNAs have two regions of fundamental functional importance: the anti-codon, which is responsible for specific mRNA codon recognition, and the 3' end, to which the tRNAs corresponding amino acid is attached (by aminoacyl-tRNA synthetases). tRNAs cope with the degeneracy of the genetic code in two manners: having more than one tRNA (with a specific anti-codon) for a particular amino acid; and 'wobble' base-pairing, i.e. permitting non-standard base-pairing at the 3rd anti-codon position.
Source: RNAcentral
GCCGAAGUGGUGGAAUUGGUAGACACGCUAUCUUGAGGGGGUAGUGACCAAAAGUCGUGCGAGUUCGAGUCUCGCCUUCGGCACCA